CACACCGCCCGUCACACCAUGGGAGUUGGUUCGACCUUAAGCUGGUGCGCGAACUCGCAAGAGACGCAGCCAACCACGGUCGGGUUAGCGACUGGGGUG
This 99-nucleotide ribosomal RNA is filed under the name uncultured bacterium. Its description in RNAcentral is "partial 16S ribosomal RNA". It matches the Rfam family "Bacterial small subunit ribosomal RNA", at positions 1386 to 1482 of the family's 1533-position model. The record is from RNAcentral.